This 384-nucleotide ribosomal RNA is filed under the name uncultured bacterium. RNAcentral's name for it is "bacterial SSU rRNA". It matches the Rfam family "Bacterial small subunit ribosomal RNA", at positions 30 to 416 of the family's 1533-position model. The record is from RNAcentral.
AUUGAACGCUGGCGGCAUGCCUUACACAUGCAAGUCGAACGGCAGCGGACCUUCGGGUGCCGGCGAGUGGCGAACGGGUGAGUAAUAUAUCGGAACGUACCUUUCAGUGGGGGAUAACGUAGCGAAAGUUACGCUAAUACCGCAUAUUCUGUGAGCAGGAAAGCAGGGGAUCGCAAGACCUUGCGCUGAUUGAGCGGCCGAUAUCAGAUUAGCUAGUUGGUGAGGUAAAGGCUCACCAAGGCGACGAUCUGUAGCGGGUCUGAGAGGAUGAUCCGCCACACUGGAACUGAAACACGGUCCAGACUCCUACGGGAGGCAGCAGUGGGGAAUUUUGGACAAUGGGCGCAAGCCUGAUCCAGCCAUGCCGCGUGAGUGAAGAAGGCC